GUCAACAUAAACUGGAGGCUUGGCGAAGCUGAAUGGACUGAUACAUAUUUACCUGAUUAUGACAAUGUAGCUGCUGUGUUGGAAUAAGGCCAGGACUCUCUGAGACAAAAUCAAUUCUUAAGCAAUCCUGUCUUGGAACCAUCAUGGAUAGUGUGAAGAUUGUCUUCCUUUUACACUGAAAUCACUGGGGUCCAGUCAGCCAUGCAUUCACCCUCUCUGGUGCCCCACGAAUGACCUCAAGCCUCACUUCAAGAGGAC
Molecule: long non-coding RNA, 258 nt
Organism: Tupaia belangeri chinensis (Chinese tree shrew)
Lineage: Eukaryota; Metazoa; Chordata; Mammalia; Scandentia; Tupaiidae
Exons: 3
Source: RefSeq, a predicted model, not a curated record